CGGACCUUGUACACACCGCCCGUCACACCAUGAGAGUUUUUUAUACCCGAAGUUGUUUUAGCUAACCGUAAGGAGGCGAAUAGUGACGGUAUGGGAGAUGAUUGGGGUG
Molecule: ribosomal RNA, 109 nt
Filed under: uncultured bacterium
Lineage: Bacteria
Description: partial 16S ribosomal RNA
Rfam family: Bacterial small subunit ribosomal RNA
Source: RNAcentral